GGACAAGCACCACCGCGACUGGAUCCUCCGGCGGUGCUGCGGCUCCAUCGCCGCCUGCAUCCUCACGCUCGCCGUCCUCGUCGGCUUCAUCGUGCUCGUCAUCUACCUCGCGAUUCACCCCUCCAAGCCUUCUUUCUACCUCCAGGACGUCCAGCUCCGCAACAUCGACCUCUCCGACCCUGCCAUCUCCCUCAACCUCCAGGUGACGAUCGCGUCGAGGAACCCGAACGACAGGGUGGGGGUGUACUACAAGACGCUGCACGUGUUCACGACGUACAGGGA
Molecule: unclassified non-coding RNA, 282 nt
Filed under: Hevea brasiliensis (rubber tree)
Lineage: Eukaryota; Viridiplantae; Streptophyta; Magnoliopsida; Malpighiales; Euphorbiaceae
Source: RNAcentral